RNAcentral lists this ribosomal RNA (623 nucleotides) under Enterococcus faecium. RNAcentral describes it as "partial 23S ribosomal RNA". It matches the Rfam family "Bacterial large subunit ribosomal RNA", at positions 1557 to 2189 of the family's 2925-position model. Lineage: Bacteria; Bacillati; Bacillota; Bacilli; Lactobacillales; Enterococcaceae. The record is from RNAcentral.
CAAGCUGUGAUGGGGAGGGAAAUAAUAGUACCGAAGUUCCUGAUGUCACACUGCCGAGAAAAGCUUCUAGUGAGAAAACAGCGGCCCGUACCGCAAACCGACACAGGUAGUCGAGGAGAGAAUCCUAAGGUGAGCGAGAGAACUCUCGUUAAGGAACUCGGCAAAAUGACCCCGUAACUUCGGGAGAAGGGGUGCUGAUCAUACGAUCAGCCGCAGUGAAUAGGCCCAAGCGACUGUUUAUCAAAAACACAGGUCUCUGCAAAAUCGUAAGAUGAAGUAUAGGGGCUGACGCCUGCCCGGUGCUGGAAGGUUAAGAGGAGUGCUUAGCGCAAGCGAAGGUACGAAUUGAAGCCCCAGUAAACGGCGGCCGUAACUAUAACGGUCCUAAGGUAGCGAAAUUCCUUGUCGGGUAAGUUCCGACCCGCACGAAAGGCGUAACGAUUUGGGCACUGUCUCAACGAGAGACUCGGUGAAAUUUUAGUACCUGUGAAGAUGCAGGUUACCCGCGACAGGACGGAAAGACCCCAUGGAGCUUUACUGUAGUUUGAUAUUGAGUGUCUGUACCGCAUGUACAGGAUAGGUAGGAGCCGUAGAAAUCGGAACGCUAGUUUCGAUGGAGGCGC